UCUCCUGGAAACGGGUGGUAAUGCCGGAUGCUCCGGUUGGAUGCAUGUCCUUCCGGGAAAGGUUCCAUCGGUAUGGGAUGGGGUCGCGUCCUAUCAGCUUGAUGGCGGGGUAACGGCCCACCAUGGCUUCGACGGGUAGCCGGCCUGAGAGGGCGACCGGCCACAUUGGGACUGAGAUACGGCCCAGACUCCUACGGGAGGCAGCAGUGGGGAAUAUUGCACAAUGGGCGCAAGCCUGAUGCAGCGACGCCGCGUGCGGGAUGGAGGCCUUCGGGUUGUAAACCGCUUUUGAUCGGGAGCAAGCCCUUCGGGGUGAGUGUACCUUUCGAAUAAGCACCGGCUAACUACGUGCCAGCAGCCGCGGUAAUACGUAGGGUGCAAGCGUUAUCCGGAAUUAUUGGGCGUAAAGGGCUCGUAGGCGGUUCGUCGCGUCCGGUGUGAAAGCCCAUCGCUUAACGGUGGGUCUGCGCCGGGUACGGGCGGGCUGGAGUGCGGUAGGGGAGACUGGAAUUCCCGGUGUAACGGUGGAAUGUGUAGAUAUCGGGAAAGAACACCA
This 556-nucleotide ribosomal RNA is filed under the name Bifidobacterium dentium. Its description in RNAcentral is "bacterial SSU rRNA". It matches the Rfam family "Bacterial small subunit ribosomal RNA", at positions 146 to 711 of the family's 1533-position model. Lineage: Bacteria; Bacillati; Actinomycetota; Actinomycetes; Bifidobacteriales; Bifidobacteriaceae. The record is from RNAcentral.